Molecule: ribosomal RNA, 253 nt
Filed under: uncultured bacterium
Lineage: Bacteria
Description: partial 16S ribosomal RNA
Rfam family: Bacterial small subunit ribosomal RNA
Source: RNAcentral
GACGAAGGGGGCAAGCGUUGUUCGGAAUUACUGGGCGUAAAGGGCGCGUAGGCGGUUCUUUAAGUCAGGCGUGAAAGCCCUGGGCUCAACCUGGGAGUGGCGCUUGAUACUGGAGGACUAUAGAGUGGGAGAGGUUGGUGGAAUUCCCAGUGUAGAGGUGAAAUUCGUAGAUAUUGGGAAGAACACCGGUGGCGAAGGCGGCCAACUGGACCAUUUCUGACGCUGAGGCGCGAAAGCGUGGGGAGCAAACAGG